GUCGGCGCGGCGCCCAUGCGGGCCUCGGGGCUUCCUGUGCGCCCGGCCGCAGGCGUGCGGAGCCGCGCGUCGACGCCCUAUCCCGCGGCCAGCCGAGCGAGGAGGAAACCGACGGUCCGAGAGGGCGUGUGGACAAGGUCUCACGGCCACCGAGUCGCAGAGCUCUGUUCGAACCAGGAAUUAACACUCCUGGACUUGGACUAGAGUGAUUCAAGAUCACAUAUGAUACAGGUACCAGAGGCAACACUGGCUUCAAACCCAUUCGCUGAUUCCCUCUCGCAGAGACCUUCUUGGGAUUCUUCAGCAAUGCUAUCAACUUCAAUGGUUAUGUCACUCUCACUUUUUAUACUGCGAGACUCAUCUUGACUGAGAGUUCUUAGAAGAGAGAAAAUCACAACUACCUUAAAAGAAUCAAGAGGAUUAUCAUAAUGAGAAAACAAGAUUUAUAAAAAACAGUACAAUAUAAAUAAUACCUACAUUUAUCAUAAAGGAUAUAACUCUAUAUACAUACUU
Molecule: long non-coding RNA, 513 nt
Organism: Mustela erminea (ermine)
Lineage: Eukaryota; Metazoa; Chordata; Mammalia; Carnivora; Mustelidae
Exons: 4
Source: RefSeq, a predicted model, not a curated record